UACGUUCAUCCUCAAAAGGACGGAAGUAGGCAAUAAAGCUGAAGGAACGCACC
Molecule: non-coding RNA, 53 nt
Submitted as: unclassified sequences
Source: Rfam